Molecule: non-coding RNA, 1975 nt
Organism: Misgurnus anguillicaudatus (oriental weatherfish)
Lineage: Eukaryota; Metazoa; Chordata; Actinopteri; Cypriniformes; Cobitidae
Source: RefSeq, a predicted model, not a curated record
UAUUGGUUAUCCUGUGGUCACAUAAGAACGUUACAGAUAGGACACCUGAGACUUUAACAGAACAUUCCCACAUGGUACUAUUUUGGUUAUAUCAUAACGUUCCUGAUAUGACUGUAGGAAGACGUUGCAUAUUGGUUAUCCUGUGGUCACAUAAGAACGUUACAGAAAGGACAUUUGGAACAUUAAAAGAACAUUCCCACAUGGUACUAUUUUGGUCGUAUCAUAACGUUCCUGAUAUGACUGUAGGAUGACGUUCCAUAUUGGUUAUCCUGUGGUCACAUAAGAACGUUACAGAAAGGACUUUUGGAACAUUUACAGAACCAUCCUACAUGGUCCUCUGUUGGUCGUAUCAUAACGUAUUAUGUUAUACUCUCUGAAUAUAAUGAUGUAGAUUGCAAUGCAUCUUGGAAACAGUAGUCAGUUAACAGCAAAUCGUUCAAUCUGCUUUAUGAAAAGAACUACCUUUCCCAUAAUGCAACAGCUUACAAGAGGACCCGGAAGUCACAUGAAAUUCAAACUGCCACACUUGACGACGCGUGAUCUUUGUUUUGUCUUUAUAUAAUACUGUAAGAAGUCAUGUACCACACAUUGUCAAACCUGAAGAAGUGUAUCUUCCUGCAAUCUGGGUAAAGAAGGUGUAACUUUAACACACAUUAUUUAAAAACAUAAGAGUCAUGUUCAUUAUUUAUCUUUGUGUAAUUUGAUUUAAAUUACAACAUUGAAUGUAUUGAAUUUGUUAAAUUUUGUAUGAGGUAAUUUCUUGUAUGGGUUAAUUUGCCUAAUAUUAGUAUUAGAUACAAAAGCACAAGUGUUUUGGCUUAAAAGUGACAGCAUGUUUUAAAAAUGUUUCAGGUAGUGGGGCUUGGAUUGUUUGAAGUAGUAAAGAAUAAUGGCAAAUAAUGAAGCAGGCAAUAAAAAAUACUUGACCAAGAAGUUUUGGAGCUUAACAUUUUUGUAGUUUGUAAUUGCUUUUUUCUUUAAGUUGGUAAUUUGAAAAUCUUUCUGGAAGUCUGAAAUCUUCCUACAUAUUUUUUUCACAUCUCGAUUUGAAUGUUAAAAAUCUUAGUUCUUGGAUUUGUGAUGUUUUGUAAUAUGUGUUUUUGCCCUUACUUAUGCAUUUUAUGUAAAUAUAUUUUUAACUGGAUUUGUAUUUGUAUGCUCUUAUUCUGCAGGCUCCAGACCUGGGGCCUAUAACAUGAAGCUGGUUUAGUUGGUUAGCCAGCUUUGUUUAGGAUUAGUUUGUGCAAAUCCUGGGUUUUGGGUACCAUGAAAAUAGCUUUUACCAACAAGGCCUGCACAUUGGCUUGGUUUUGUCAACCUGAAACUAAUCCUGUAACCCUGAGUUUGUUGAACCAUUUUCAUGGUACGGGCCCCUGGAGAUUGAAGUUCCUAAAGGUUGAUGUUUAUCAAGCUUGUGACCUUAUCACAUGGUGUUAUUUUUUUACAUUUAUAUAUCUAAUACACAUUUGCACAUCUGUAAACAUAUAUUUAAUAUUUUGUGGGCUAUUUUUUAUUUUAUUUAACCAGUUGUUGUAUAUUGAAAUAUGUUACAUUUUAUGCACUCCAAAUGUAAAUGUUUUGUUUUAAUUGCAUCUUUAUUGUUUAAAACAAUUUAAUUAAUGUGGGUUUUUGUUAGCUUUUAUGUUAUUCUUGUAUUUUUUGGCUAUUUAUUUGUUUUUGUUUUUUAUUAUCCUUCUGUUAAUUUGCCAGAUUUUGACCUUCUAUUUGUUUUUCCUGUAAUCUCACUUCAUUUGGACUUCAUUUCCCAUAAUCCUUUUCACUCUCUCACCUGAACUGUGUAUGUUAUUAUCCUCACCUGACAGUCAUCCCCCUCAUCACUCCAUUGUCUAAAUACCCUGCUUUUCCCUUUGUCUAGGUCAGUUCUUGUUUAUAGUGAUGUGUUGUGUGUUUUGCUGUUUACCAGUUUCCAUGUUCCUUGUUUUAUAUUAAUUAAAGAUUAUCAUUUUGGAUUCAU